This 65-nucleotide transfer RNA is filed under the name Torymus sp. ZJUH_2016035. RNAcentral's name for it is "tRNA-Asn". Lineage: Eukaryota; Metazoa; Arthropoda; Insecta; Hymenoptera; Torymidae. The record is from RNAcentral.
UUAAUUGAAACCAAAUAGAGGUAAAUUAUUGUUAAUAAUUUUAUUGAAAUAAAUUUCCAAUUAAA